UAUCAUGAAACAACACAAUACAAACACUAGAUAAUCAAAGAGAGUUUUGAAUUCAGAACCCCACCUCCGGCAAAUAAUGUUUGAGUAGAGAGAAAGAGAGUGUAGAGAGAGAAAUGGGUUUACUUUAGUCUAUAUGAAUAAGAUCCGCCACAACCACGGUGGAUCGGAACGAGAUUCGCCACAACCAAGGUCUAUCUAAGGGAGAUCUGGGUUUUGUGGACAAGAAGACACACAAACACGACAAUAGUUAGGCGGUGGUCCUAUUGUUGUGGCGGCUAGGUGGUUGGGCGGCUUCAUCUGGGUUGCGGCGGUGAUUGGCGGUGAUCGAUUUGUCAUUUGUGUGGUAUGACGAUUAUGGAUCGGUGGUGGUGGGGAUAUGUUUGGGUGGUGAUUGUCGGUGAUCAGAGAUGGUUCGGUGGGAGUAGAAAGAAAGAAAUGGUAGUCGAUAAUUAAGGUUGGUUAAUUAAAGGUUUCAGGUUCGCCCAAGUAACAAAUUGAUUCCGUUAUUGAUUUUAGUUUCCUUCUUUUAAGUCUUUAUAUUCAUUUUAAAGCCCUUUUACCUUUCCAGAAGAUGCAACCAAUUUUUUUAAUUUUUUAUCAUCAUUUAUUAAUACAACCAAAUGUUAGAAACAUGUUUUAAGUAUACCAAUUUGGUGGAUGAAUUUUCCAAACAUAGUGGUAGUUAGUAUUGUUAUUUUUUUGCCAAAACAAAUAAUGUAUAGGUUUUGAUUUGAACCUAAAAUUGUUAAUAUGCUUUUUAUAUAGUGACGACGGGCCAAUGGAUUGCUCCAUUUACUCGUCUUGGGCUAUUAUCAUGCAGGCCCAACAGUAAAAGGGCCCAAUGAUAUAAAACUUGCCCAUUAAGGUUUCUCUAUUAGAAACGAGCGGGAAAAAGAGGAUGGAAAAGGAGACUGCAUGCAUUUAAUGAGGUGAUAAGAAAGGCAUCUCUGGCUGGCAUAGUACUUCCCAGCCGGUGGCAUUAAUUAAGGGCGAUCAUCUUCCCGUUGGGGCUCAGACACGUGUCUGAGUUCCCCAAUGGUGCUCAGAGUCCGUUAGAUCGUCUCAUAAAUAUCCCACAUGCAAGAUAAGGCCUCCCGGUUAUAUAAGGAAGGUAAGAGACAACCAAAGGGGCAGGUCCAAGGUAUCACACUAAAUACUCUCUCAUUUAUUCCGACCGAUAUUCCUCUACAUUAAAUACACACACAUAUUUAUUAGAUUCACACCAUAGAGAAAUAUUCCGGUGAUCACACUCAACGGAAUAAGCUUCUCAAACUCUCCGGCAAGUUUACUUACUCUCACGCCGGAGCUUGGUCACGGAUCCCCCUCCCGGGGCCCUCCGUGACGAGGCUAACGGUUUCUUUUUUGUAGCAGUUGAAGGCUGGGAUAUUCCGACGUCAGCGAAGACCCUUUGAACGUCAUCAGGGAUUUGGGUAUUCGACAUUGGCGCCAUCCGUUGGACUAUUCAGUCUAGCUGGUAUUUCCACUCCAAAACUCCGACGUUGUAAUAACCCAUUUCACGAGAAACAACAUGGCAACACCACCAAGCUCAUGAACCAUCCAAACGGUGCAAGACGAUCGUGAUAAGGUCACCGUGGAAGACAUCACCCAUGAAGAAGAGAAUGAAAACCAGGUGGAAACCCUAGAAAGGGAGGAAGCCAUCACUCCAGAUUUUGUGGCCAUGCACAGGGAAAAGUUGAAAAAACAUCUCGAGGAUCUAGAAAGAUAGGAGAGACUUGACAGCCUCAGGGCCAGACUAUCCUUUGACACACCAUCCAACCAGGAAGGGGUGGAUCCACAAAGCAAAAACGGUGGCACUGACCCUCUAGAAACCUUCAUGACAGCCCUCAGGCAGAUGUCCUCGAAAGAGAGAGAAGAUCUCAUUACAGGGA
Molecule: long non-coding RNA, 1889 nt
Filed under: Helianthus annuus (common sunflower)
Lineage: Eukaryota; Viridiplantae; Streptophyta; Magnoliopsida; Asterales; Asteraceae
Description: hypothetical non coding rna
Source: RNAcentral